RNAcentral lists this long non-coding RNA (521 nucleotides) under Mytilus galloprovincialis (Mediterranean mussel). Lineage: Eukaryota; Metazoa; Mollusca; Bivalvia; Mytilida; Mytilidae. The record is from RNAcentral.
GAGAAGAUUUUUGUAAAAGAUUCCUUUAAUUUACGAAAAAUGGUUAAAAAUUGACUAUAAAGGGCAAUAACUCCUAAACGGGUCAACUGACCAUUUUGGGCAUUUUCACUUAUUUGUAGAUCUUACUUUUGCUGAAUCAUUAUUGCUGUUUACAGUUUAUCUCUAUCUAUAAUAAUAUUCAAGAUAAUAACCAAAAACAGCAAAAUUUCCUCAAAAUUACCAAUUCAGGGGCAGCAACCCAACAACCAAUUGACCGAUUCAUCUGAAAAUUUCAGGGCAGAUAGAUCUUGACCUGAUAAACAUUUUUACCCCAUGUCAGAUUUCCUCAAAAUGCUUUGGUUUUUGAGUUAUAAGCCAAAAACUGCAUUUUACCCCUAUGUUCUAUUUUUAGCCGUGGCGGCCAUCUUGGUUGGUUGACCAAGUCACCCCACACAUUUUUUAAACUAGAUACCCCAAAGAUGAUUGUGGCCAAGUUUGGAUUAAUUUGGCCCAGUAGUUUCUGAGGAGAAGAUUUUUGUAAA